This 131-nucleotide small nucleolar RNA is filed under the name Meriones unguiculatus (Mongolian gerbil). Lineage: Eukaryota; Metazoa; Chordata; Mammalia; Rodentia; Muridae. The record is from RNAcentral.
CCCCUUUUAAAAGCACUCAGUGGGCCUUUGCUAGUGACCCGCUGAGCUGUCAAGAAGGGGCAGAGCCAAAACAUCACUUUUGGGUGAAGUGGCCAUGUGUGUUGUUUGCUGCAGUCAGUGCUAUGACAAGA